This 222-nucleotide ribosomal RNA is filed under the name uncultured bacterium. RNAcentral describes it as "partial 16S ribosomal RNA". It matches the Rfam family "Bacterial small subunit ribosomal RNA", at positions 109 to 334 of the family's 1533-position model. The record is from RNAcentral.
AGUAAUGUCUGGGAAACUGCCCGAUGGAGGGGGAUAGCUACUGGAAACGGUAGCUAAUAUCGCAUAACGUCGCAAGACCAAAGAGGGGGACCUUCGGGCCUCUUGCCAUCGGAUGUGCCCAGAUGGGAUUAGCUAGUAGGUGGGGUAAUGGCUCACCUAGGCGACGAUCCCUAGCUGGUCUGAGAGGAUGACCAGCCACACUGGAACUGAGACACGGUCCAG